RNAcentral lists this ribosomal RNA (573 nucleotides) under uncultured bacterium. RNAcentral's name for it is "bacterial SSU rRNA". It matches the Rfam family "Bacterial small subunit ribosomal RNA", at positions 338 to 905 of the family's 1533-position model. The record is from RNAcentral.
CCUACGGGAGGCAGCAGGGGGGAAUAUUGCACAAUGGGCGCAAGCCUGAUGCAGCCAUGCCGCGUGUAUGAAGAAGGCCUUCGGGUUGUAAAGUACUUUCAGCAGUGAGGAAGGCGGAGUCGUUAAUAGCGGCCUCGUUGACGUUGCUGCAGAAGAAGCACCGGCUAACUCCGUGCCAGCAGCCGCGGUAAUACGGAGGGUGCGAGCGUUAAUCGGAAUUACUGGGCGUAAAGCGCAUGCAGGUGGUUUGUUAAGUCAGAUGUGAAAGCCCGGGGCUCAACCUCGGAAUUGCAUUUGAAACUGGCAGACUAGAGUACUGUAGAGGGGGGUAGAAUUUCAGGUGUAGCGGUGAAAUGCGUAGAGAUCUGAAGGAAUACCGGUGGCGAAGGCGGCCCCCUGGACAGAUACUGACACUCAGAUGCGAAAGCGUGGGGAGCAAACAGGAUUAGAUACCCUGGUAGUCCACGCCGUAAACGAUGUCUACUUGGAGGUUGUGGCCUUGAGCCGUGGCUUUCGGAGCUAACGCGUUAAGUAGACCGCCUGGGGAGUACGGUCGCAAGAUUAAAACUCAAC